CCUACGGGUGGCUGCAGUGAGGAAUAUUGGUCAAUGGCCGGAAGGCUGAACCAGCCAAGCCGCGUGAAGGACGAAGGUGCCAAGCAUUGUAAACUUCUUUUGUCAAGGGACAAAAAAAGGCGAGAGAGAAGGACCGAGGGUACGUGAAGAAAAAGCAUCGGCCAACUCAGGGCCAGCAGCGGCGGUACUACGGAGGAUGCGAGCGUUAUCCGGAUUUAUUGGGUUUAAGGGGUGCGUAGGCGGGCUGUUAAGUCAGCGGUAAAAGCCCGGGGCUCAACCCCGGCGAGCCGUUGAAACGUGCUGUCUUGAGAUGUCGAGAGGUAUGCGGAAUGCGCAGUGUAGCGGUGAAAUGCUUAGAUAUUGCGCAGAACUCCGAUUGCGAAGGCAGCAUCCCGACGGCGCUCUGACGCUGAGGCACGAAAGCGUGGGUAUCGAACAGGAUUAGAUACCCGAGUAGUC
This 459-nucleotide ribosomal RNA is filed under the name uncultured bacterium. RNAcentral describes it as "partial 16S ribosomal RNA". It matches the Rfam family "Bacterial small subunit ribosomal RNA", at positions 338 to 795 of the family's 1533-position model. The record is from RNAcentral.